AUUGAACGCUGGCGGCGUGCUUAACACAUGCAAGUCGAACGAGAACGGAUUAUAGCUUGCUAUAAUUGUCAGCUAAGUGGCGCACGGGUGAGUAAUGUAUAGGUAAUAUGCCUCUUACUAAGGGAUAACAAUUGGAAACGAUUGCUAAUACCUUAUAUUCCUUUUUAUCAAAAGAUAAAAAGGGAAAGAUUUAUUGGUAAGAGAUUAGCCUGUAUUGUAUCAGUUAGUUGGUGGGGUAAUGGCCUACCAAGACGAUGACGCAUAACUGGUUUGAGAGGAUGAUCAGUCACACUGGAACUGAGACACGGUCCAGACUCCUACGGGAGGCAGCAGUGGGGAAUAUUGCACAAUGGACGAAAGUCUGAUGCAGCAACGCCGCGUGGAGGAUGACACAUUUCGGUGCGUGAACUCCUUUUAUAUAAGAAGAUAAUGACGGUAUUAUAUGAAUAAGCACCGGCUAACUCCGUGCCAGCAGCCGCCGUAA
Molecule: ribosomal RNA, 484 nt
Filed under: uncultured bacterium
Lineage: Bacteria
Description: partial 16S ribosomal RNA
Rfam family: Bacterial small subunit ribosomal RNA
Source: RNAcentral